UUUUUGGAAGAUUAGAACAUACAUUUUGGGCAUUAUUGUCUAAAAGAAGUGGAUUUGGGAGGCAUCUUUUUUCCUUUGCUGUAUGUUAUGGAACAUGUAGGAAUAAUUUUUCAUUUUGGGCGUUACUGUCUAGAGGAAGUGGAUUUGGAGGCAUCUUUUUACCUUUGAUGUAUGUUAUGGAACAUGUAGGAAUAAUUUUUCAUUUUGGGCAUUACUGUCUAAAAGAAGUGGAUUUGGAGGCAUCUUUUUACCUUUGAUGUAUGUUAUGGAACAUGUAGGAAUAAUUUCUCAUUUUGGGCAGACAGCGAAUCUGCAGUAUUUAUAUGCCAAUCUUGAGCAUAAUGGCAUGGUGGGUUGCAUCUUUUAAGCUUUUACCUCUACAUUCUCUUUGGGAAGUCAUCUUAGGCCAGUUUAGCCUGCCAUAAGAAGC
RNAcentral lists this long non-coding RNA (430 nucleotides) under Carica papaya (papaya). RNAcentral's name for it is "long non-coding RNA (CPAP_LNC013154)". Lineage: Eukaryota; Viridiplantae; Streptophyta; Magnoliopsida; Brassicales; Caricaceae. The record is from RNAcentral.